RNAcentral lists this ribosomal RNA (253 nucleotides) under uncultured bacterium. Its description in RNAcentral is "partial 16S ribosomal RNA". It matches the Rfam family "Bacterial small subunit ribosomal RNA", at positions 524 to 776 of the family's 1533-position model. The record is from RNAcentral.
UACAGAGGGUGCUAGCGUUGUUCGGAAUCAUUGGGCGUAAAGGGCGUGUAGGCGGUUUGUUAAGUCAUGUGUGAAAUCCCUCGGCUCAACCGGGGAACGACGCAUGAAACUGGCAAGCUAGAGUACCAAAGAGGGGGGUGGAAUUCCCGGUGUAGCGGUGAAAUGCGUAGAUAUCUGGAGGAACACCGGUGGCGAAGGCGGCUACCUGGCCCAACAUUGACACUGAGACCCGAAAGCGUGGGGAUCAAACAGG